CCAGCGUGGGUGCCAGUUGGGAUGUGAACUCCUGUUCAGUGAAGAGCUGGCCUGGCCCCUUCAGACAUACAGGAUGUAGAACAGCUGUCAUAUGCUUGGUUGGACUGACUUGGUUUGGAUUUUAAGUGACAUGGAGCUGAUACCAGGCGGAAUCUGUGACAUUUCCAAGGACACUGCAAAACGGGACAAGAAGUGAUCCAGGAGCAGAAACAUACCAUCCACUAGUUAAUUUCUGAGCUCACUAAAACAGCAGCUAAAAACAGAAAGGAAAAUAGAACAAAAGUGAAGUGUAAACGUGAGUGAGAGUGAAGCAACUACCAAGUGAGAGCUGGCCGGGAUGAGAAUGAGCAGAGACAAUGAACGUGGACACCAAGUAUGGUUAGCUGAGCAGAAAAUGGGAAGCAGAGAUGAGAGCCAAGGAGAGGGGGGCAGAAAGGCAGCAGCAAGAAGCAGCACAUUGGCAGGCCAUGGAGCUGAAAGAGAUGGAAGCCCAAGAAAAGGAAAGACUGCCGGCCUGGAGCAUAAGGGACAGGCGGGGCAGGCUCCACCAUCCCCAGCUAUCCCCUCCAUUCAAGGAACACCUAGCUGGAUAAGUCAUGCCCUGCAUACAAGGAAUCAAACUGUACUGAAGAACACCUCAUCACUUUUGAAAGGCUAAGUGAACUACGUACAGUUCCAGAGGACAGGCCAGUCCCCAUACUGAUUGCACAACUCCUGGGUAAAGCUUUACAUGUAUUUAAUGAAAUGCUGAUUGCAGAAGCUUUGAUAUAUCCUGAAUUUAAAAAAACUGUCCUGCAAAGGUUUCAAAUUACCCCUGUGGUGUACAGGUUGAAAUUUAGAAAUCUCAGGAAAAGUGCUGGAAUGAGUCAUAAUGAGUACCUAUAAAAUGUGUAACCUAAUGAAAAACGCAAUAUGGGAUACAUCUUUAAAUCCUCUACAGGAAGUUGCCAUCCUUUGAUAAGAAACUUCUUACUCUUUUCUCUAUAAAUAGAUAGAAAUGCUGUGGUGCUAAGCAAAGUGCUUGUCCUGAGCUGAAUCUUUCAAACUGGGAACAGGAGGCCUGGUAGUUCUGAGAGUGUCCCGGGGAUAAGGGGCUGGGUGCUGCAGGGAACACUCCAAGGACUCAGGCGUUGGUGUGUGCUUAUGCUACUGGUACACAGAGACCGAGAACUGAGGAGGCCUGGAGGGCAGUGCUUGUCUUGCCAGAGGUUGGUGGUUUCUGGGAGCUGUUUCACAGCAAGCACAUACUAAGGGACAGUGAGGUGCAUCACAACCCUAGGUACCCCCGGACAGCGUCUGUUCCAAAUCUACCGUUAAUUCCAUCCAUCGUCUCUAUUCAAUCCCUGGACAUGCACUUCCAGAGUUAUUUGGGAAGGGGAAAAAAGCAGAAUGAAAUAGGAAUUUCCACAGGAUUACAGUGGUGCCCCCUUUGUCUGCCUCAAUCGUGAUGAAUACAUUAAUAGGGGCCAACCGACAACUCUCCAACAGCACCUACUAUAACAAACUCAAAGACAACCCCACACCACAGUUUACCCAAUUUAAGGAUAUCAUCAAAUCCUUCUCCAGAUAAACAAGGGAACCCAGGCAGACCCAUUAUAUCUGGCCACGGCACUCUUAUUGAAGCAAGAUUGGGACUCAGACGCUAUCCUCAAACCAUUCCUCACACAAAGGGCCAGAUUCCUCCAGGACACAACCUACUUUCUCAACAAACUUCGCAACAUCAACGACCUCCCUCAGAACACCCUUCUUGUCACCAGGGAUGUCACCUUCCUACACAUCAACAUCCCUCACAAAGACAGCAUAGCUGCCUGCCUCAAAUAUUUACAAGAUGGUGGACGACCCUCAAAUCUCCACCCCAA
This is a non-coding RNA of Chelonoidis abingdonii (Abingdon island giant tortoise), 1859 nucleotides long. NCBI's taxonomy places the organism in Eukaryota, Metazoa, Chordata, Testudines, Testudinidae. The record is from RefSeq and is a predicted model, not a curated record.